RNAcentral lists this ribosomal RNA (377 nucleotides) under uncultured bacterium. RNAcentral's name for it is "bacterial SSU rRNA". It matches the Rfam family "Bacterial small subunit ribosomal RNA", at positions 523 to 898 of the family's 1533-position model. The record is from RNAcentral.
AUACGUAGGUGGCAAGCGUUGUCCGGAAUUAUUGGGCGUAAAGCGCGCGCAGGCGGUCCUUUAAGUCUGAUGUGAAAGCCCACGGCUCAACCGUGGAGGGUCAUUGGAAACUGGGGGACUUGAGUACAGAAGAGGAGAGUGGAAUUCCACGUGUAGCGGUGAAAUGCGUAGAGAUGUGGAGGAACACCAGUGGCGAAGGCGGCUCUCUGGUCUGUAACUGACGCUGAGGCGCGAAAGCGUGGGUAGCGAACAGGAUUAGAUACCCUGGUAGUCCACGCCGUAAACGAUGAGUGCUAAGUGUUAGAGGGUUUCCGCCCUUUAGUGCUGCAGCAAACGCAUUAAGCACUCCGCCUGGGGAGUACGGCCGCAAGGCUGAA